AUGCCCCUUGAGACGCAAUUCUGGCUGUUGUGUCUGUGUUGCGCAUUAAGUGGGCAGAAAGAAACUGGCUCACGAUUGCUCAAUUUCCAAGUGGACUUUGGGUAUGGAACCGGGCCAGAUACU
Molecule: small nucleolar RNA, 123 nt
Organism: Thalassophryne amazonica
Lineage: Eukaryota; Metazoa; Chordata; Actinopteri; Batrachoidiformes; Batrachoididae
Product: small nucleolar RNA SNORA17
Exons: 1
Source: RefSeq, a predicted model, not a curated record